RNAcentral lists this ribosomal RNA (274 nucleotides) under uncultured bacterium. RNAcentral describes it as "partial 16S ribosomal RNA". It matches the Rfam family "Bacterial small subunit ribosomal RNA", at positions 523 to 796 of the family's 1533-position model. The record is from RNAcentral.
AUACGGAGGGUGCAAGCGUUAUCCGGAAUCAUUGGGUUUAAAGGGUCCGUAGGCGGACUAUUAAGUCAGAGGUGAAAUCCCACAGCUCAACUGUGGAACUGCCUUUGAUACUGGUAGUCUUGAGUUAUAUGGAAGUAGAUAGAAUGUGUAGUGUGGCGGUGAAAUGCAUAGAUAUUACACAGAAUACCGAUUGCGAAGGCAGUCUACUACGUAUAUACUGACGCUAAGGGACGAAAGCGUGGGGAGCGAACAGGAUUAGAAACCCUAGUAGUCC